RNAcentral lists this ribosomal RNA (769 nucleotides) under uncultured bacterium. RNAcentral describes it as "bacterial SSU rRNA". It matches the Rfam family "Bacterial small subunit ribosomal RNA", at positions 10 to 795 of the family's 1533-position model. The record is from RNAcentral.
AGUUUGAUCCUGGCUCAGGACGAACGCUGGCGGCGUGCUUAACACAUGCAAGUCGAGCGAUGAAGCUCCUUCGGGAGUGGAUUAGCGGCGGACGGGUGAGUAACACGUGGGUAACCUGCCUCAAAGAGGGGGAUAGCCUCCCGAAAGGGAGAUUAAUACCGCAUAACAAGUAUGAUUCACAUGGAUGGUACUUUAAAGGAGUAAUCCGCUUUGAGAUGGACCCGCGGCGCAUUAGCUAGUUGGUAGGGCAACGGCCUACCAAGGCAACGAUGCGUAGCCGACCUGAGAGGGUGAUCGGCCACAUUGGAACUGAGAGACGGUCCAGACUCCUACGGGAGGCAGCAGUGGGGAAUAUUGCACAAUGGGCGAAAGCCUGAUGCAGCAACGCCGCGUGAGUGAAGAAGGUUUUCGGAUUGUAAAGCUCUGUCAUCUGGGACGAUAAUGACGGUACCAGAUGAGGAAGCCACGGCUAACUACGUGCCAGCAGCCGCGGUAAUACGUAGGUGGCAAGCGUUGUCCGGAAUUACUGGGCGUAAAGGGUGCGCAGGCGGACAUUUAAGUGAGAUGUGAAAUACCCGGGCUUAACCCGGGCAGUGCAUUUCAAACUGGGUGUCUGGAGUGCAGGAGAGGAGAACGGAAUUCCUAGUGUAGCGGUGAAAUGCGUAGAGAUUAGGAAGAACACCAGUGGCGAAGGCGGUUCUCUGGACUGUAACUGACGCUGAGGCACGAAAGCGUGGGUAGCAAACAGGAUUAGAUACCCUGGGUAGUC